Paramuricea clavata is the source of this 897-nucleotide non-coding RNA. The record is from the annotation of a GenBank genome assembly. Lineage: Eukaryota; Metazoa; Cnidaria; Anthozoa; Malacalcyonacea; Plexauridae.
GACCACUGAGCUCUACUAUAUAUAUCUGGAGAUCGUGCUCGCAAAUGAAAAGUGUCCGCAAAAACAUGGCGGAUUUCGAGCUCCACGCAUUGAACUAUAAAUAAACUGGAAGGCUAACUGCUAUGAUGAAGGCCUAUGAUUUGAUGAAGCCAAAAUAGUUUUUCUAAGUUAUGAGCAGAAAUACUUGACCCCAAACGUCGGGCAAUAUAUCAAAUUGAAGCUAUUGAAAAUUGCUAUUCGUUGUGGAAAUUUCAAGACUUCAGCGAAAAGAAAAAUAUUUAAAAAAUACAAAAACAACCGCAAAACGGCAAAUUAUCGGUAAUUAUGUUUGUAGUUUUUCAAUAUUUCCCUUUUAGCUAAAGUCUUGAAAUUUCUACACCAAAUAGCGCUUUUCAAUAGCUUCAAUUUGGUAUACAGCCCAACGUUCAGUGUUGAGUAUUUCUGCUCAUAACUCAGAAAAACUAAAAUGCACUGGCUUCAAUUUCCCCCCCCCUGAGUUAGCCUUCCAGUUUAUUUAUAGUUCAAUGGCUCCACGUCCACUAUUCUCAUGGUACGUUAACUGACCACAGCUCAAAUGCGUGCGGGCGACAUUUCCCACUCCCCCCUGACCAGAGAGCCACUGAUCUUUAUAAUUUUUAAAAAAGGAGUACAUAGUUACAUCAAAGAUUAGAUACUAUAAAGAUGUGUCACUCGACGUAUUUCCCUAAUGUUUGCGUGUCCGUAAUUUUCCGUGCUGAUCACGAGUGAUCACGCGAGAUGACGAGUGCAUAACACUUACUGCCAAAAUGGCGGCGAGACUGAAUCAUUGAACUAAAAAUAACUGGAACGAUACCUCCAACCGGAAAUGUGAAGCCAUGCCCAGGCAUGCCCACUGUUGUCAUGCCCAGUCUUUUCACG